UCUGUGUUUCAGGUUAGUUCAGAGUUUCAGAGAAUCACCACACUGAAUCUUGAGCCAAAAUUCAUGGUAAAUGUAGGACACCUAUACACCUAGACUGCUGUCCUUGUUUCAAGCAAAGAAAGAUGCUGCAGGAGAGAGACAUCGGGCAUGAAUGUUCUACUUCAGGUUAGUUCAGAGUUUCAGAGAAUCACCACACUGAAUCUUGAGCCAAAAUUCAUGGUAAAUGUAGGACACCUAUACACCUAGACUGCUGUCCUUGUUUCAAGCAAAGAAAGAUGCUGCAGGAGAGAGACAUCGGGCAUGAAUGUUCUACUUCAGUCAAAUACCUAAUCAACAGACACGUGAGGUUGUCAUCAGAUUUCUUAUCGACCAUCUUGGAGAAGAUGCCAGUGUGUUGUUCAUGGACUUUGAGAUUAGUAUAAUAAAAAAUAAAAUGCAAUCAUGGUAAAUUAUUGUAAUCAUGGUUGGCCAUUAAGUUACUGCAGCACAGUUUGUGGUUUCCUUACCGCACACAAAGAAGAAGCUGCUUUUUAUCUGUGGACAUCAGAUACUGUACGAGUCACCAACAUUCAUUUAUAGAUCGAUGCUGACUGAUUUUACUCUGUCCUGCUUUAAAUACAUAAAAUUUUAUUGUCUGUCACUUUUAUUUUGAGAGAAAUAUACUGUAUUUUUUGGACUAUAAGUUGCGCUUUUUUUCAUAGUUUGGGUGGGGGGGGCGACUCAUACUCAGGAGCGACUUAUAUGUGAAAUUAUUCUCAGAUUUUUACUUGAUCAUUAACACAUUACUUACCGUAAUUUCCGGAGUAUAAGUCGCACCAGCCAUAAAAUGCCCAAAAAUGUGAAAAAAACAUACAAGUCGCUCCGGAGUAUAAAUCGCAUUUUGGGGGGCAAUUUAUUCGACAAAAUCCAACACCAAGAACAGACAUGAACGAGCAACAACAGGCUAAACGAUACGGUAUGCUAACGUGACAAACACAAACGAGGAGCUGAGAAUGGGCCUGACGUAACAUUCAGUUAUUUAAAAAAAACUAUCACAUAAAUAACACGUUUAUAAAACCAUCUGUGUCACUCCAAUUCAUUAAAUCCAUCGAUCGUCCUUUGUCAACAAUGCCGUGUGCCGCGCCGCAGUUCAAAUUAUUCCACAGGCACAUACAACGAUAUGUAAACUAUAUUUUAAAUAACUAUCACAUAAACAACAAUAUUAUCAAACCAUUUGUGUCACUCCAAAUCAUUAAAUCCAUCGAUCAAAUUUCUCGUCCUUUAUGUCAUCCUGGUGACAGAGGACAUGUCCAGAGGAUAUGGCGCUUUAAAGUGUUAAUUACUUUAUUUGAUUUUUUCUCUCUAUUUUUCCAUGUUUUGAAUAUGUUCAAGAUAAAGAUAUCAAAGCAUGUGAAGUGAACAACUAUACUAAAAAUAACAUGUGAAGUGGUCAACUACGUAUACUUGUAAGUAAGUGAUGUGUUAAUGAUCAAGUAAAAAUUUGUGAAAAAAACAUAUAAGUCGCUCCGGAGUAUAAACUAUGAAAAAAAACGCGACUUACAGUCCGAAAAUUACGGUACUAGUAUAGUUGAUCACUUCACAUGUUAUUUUCACUUUAAACCGCAUAAGGGCGUAUUUUGGCUGUGGAAUAAUUGGACCCUCACUGAUAAUGAGUUCCUUUCAUUGACUUCCAGAGUCAGGAGAUUUAAUGAUUUGAAAUGGUAUCAUCUGAAAACGGCCUUCAAAAUAAAGCACCCUACCUAAAAUCAAAGCAAGGCUGAAUAACAGAAAUAACAUGGAGAAUUCUUAGCACAUACUGUUAAUACAUAUCUUUU
Long non-coding RNA from Syngnathus typhle (broad-nosed pipefish), 1814 nucleotides. RefSeq lists it as uncharacterized. Lineage: Eukaryota; Metazoa; Chordata; Actinopteri; Syngnathiformes; Syngnathidae. The record is from RefSeq and is a predicted model, not a curated record. The transcript is spliced from 3 exons.